GCUGCACCAAUUUGUAAGUCGCUCUGGAUAAGAGCGUCUGCUAAAUGACGUAAA
Molecule: non-coding RNA, 54 nt
Organism: Salmo salar (Atlantic salmon)
Lineage: Eukaryota; Metazoa; Chordata; Actinopteri; Salmoniformes; Salmonidae
Source: Rfam